AAUUGAAAAAAAAAAAAAGAAAAAAAAAAACUUACACUAGCUGAUUUGACAUUACUACGGUACACGCGUACAAUACAAACGUUCGCAAUUAUAUCAUAUAAGAGCCCCACCUUUGACAUAUUCUGUGAAGGCCAACGCAACCAAACCCAACAUAGCAAAUCUCCCAUUCCACAGCUCCGCGUCGGAUGUCAUGAAUCCAUCUGAUUUUGACUCUACGCUUACCCCUUUAAACAAGGGGAUUAGAGACGCGAGAGAGAGCACGACACUUGUUCCUACAAACCAUGUGACUCCACCGUUGGAUAUCUGGGCAAACAGAUCGUGGCCCUUGGAUAACUCCACUGCCAUUGCAGCAACAAAACCAAUCAUGGCCAGCCUACCGUUAAUCCUCUCUGGAGCUGGCCCACUGAAUGCCAACACGUCCGAGAACUUCGUACUCACCUUUAGAGCAGGAGUCGGGGCAGGGGGGGUGGCUACAGAUUCCGGUUGUGUUUGCCGCUUCUUUUGAUUUUCCUGCAACUUUUCAUCUCCCU
RNAcentral lists this unclassified non-coding RNA (530 nucleotides) under Hevea brasiliensis (rubber tree). Lineage: Eukaryota; Viridiplantae; Streptophyta; Magnoliopsida; Malpighiales; Euphorbiaceae. The record is from RNAcentral.